RNAcentral lists this ribosomal RNA (457 nucleotides) under Enterococcus faecium. Its description in RNAcentral is "partial 23S ribosomal RNA". It matches the Rfam family "Bacterial large subunit ribosomal RNA", at positions 1 to 458 of the family's 2925-position model. Lineage: Bacteria; Bacillati; Bacillota; Bacilli; Lactobacillales; Enterococcaceae. RNAcentral also lists the same sequence under 1 other name. The record is from RNAcentral.
GGUUAAGUGAAUAAGGGCGCACGGUGGAUGCCUUGGCACUAGGAGCCGAUGAAGGACGGGACUAACACCGAUAUGCUUUGGGGAGCUGUACGUAAGCUAUGAUCCAGAGAUUUCCGAAUGGGGGAACCCAGCAUCUUUAAUAGGAUGUUACGAUUGUGUGAAUACAUAGCACAUUCGAGGUAGACGCAGAGAACUGAAACAUCUAAGUACCUGCAGGAAGAGAAAGAAAAUUCGAUUCCCUGAGUAGCGGCGAGCGAAACGGGAAAAGCCCAAACCAACAAGCUUGCUUGUUGGGGUUGUAGGACUCCAAUAUGGUCGUUCUUUCAGAUAGUCGAAUGACUUGGAAAAGUCAGUCAAAGAGGGUAAAAACCCCGUAGACGAAAUGUGGAAGACACCUAGGAGGAUCCUGAGUACGGCGGAACACGAGAAAUUCCGUCGGAAUCCGGGAGGACCAUCU